GGACAGCUUAACUACAACAACAAAAAUAAUUCACCUAACCAAGGCUAAAACCAAACGGUCUACUUAACUGGAAGUAUAAAUACAAUGACUUAACUGCAACCGAUUAAAUGACCAUUCUAUUUUCUAUGUAAAGCGUCCACAAAAAUUUUAUUUUAAUCUUAUACUGAGAUUUUCAAUUCGCAACUAUGUUCGCUUACGUAUAUUUCAUUAAUGAUAAGCAAUUUUCUAAGGUGCCUGUAGGCUUUAUUAAGAAGUUUGAGAAAGAAACGUAUCUUGUGACAAACAUUUAUAAAGUUUUUGGAGUUUGCAUAUCCAUUCGCUCCAAAACGAAUACGAUGAAAAGUGCCACUCUUUAUUGAGAGAUCUCAGAGAGCUUCCACCUAAACAUUCGUGGAAAGUUUCUCAAGGAGAAGGGUUUUAUUUUGCCCACAUUUUACGAAUAGAAGGUAAAUAUAUCAAUAUUUUCUAUAAAAAAAAACAUAAUAAUCAAGAGAUUAUAUCAAAGUGUUGCAGUUAUAUUAUGUUUCGUAAUUUUUUUUUAGAUUCAUUCAUCACUAGCCUGAAGCUGAAAAGACCAGCCAUUCCUGUUACGCAGUGCGAGGAAGAAAUUAUCACCACAGAAAAUGAAGUUGCUAGUUUACAGAUUGAAAAAGAAAACAAAAAGCAAGAAAGAAGAUGCUGAGAUGAAGCAUAGAGAAAAUGCUGGCAAAAGAAAAAGAGCUAACGAUAUUUUUGAAGAGG
This is a non-coding RNA of Parasteatoda tepidariorum (common house spider), 741 nucleotides long. NCBI's taxonomy places the organism in Eukaryota, Metazoa, Arthropoda, Arachnida, Araneae, Theridiidae. The record is from RefSeq and is a predicted model, not a curated record.